GCACUGAUGAAGAGUCCCAUACUAAGACGAAACGGCUGUCCAGUGU
RNAcentral lists this non-coding RNA (46 nucleotides) under Schistosoma margrebowiei. The record is from RNAcentral. Lineage: Eukaryota; Metazoa; Platyhelminthes; Trematoda; Strigeidida; Schistosomatidae.